CAACCUGCCGAUGACUCGGGGAUAGCCUUUCGAAAGAAAGAUUAAUACCCGAUGGCAUAGUUCUUCCGCAUGGUGGAACUAUUAGAGAAUUUCGGUCAUCGAUGGGGAUGCGUUCCAUUAGGUUGUUGGCGGGGUAACGGCCCACCAAGCCUUCGAUGGAUAGGGGUUCUGAGAGGAAGGUCCCCCACAUUGGAACUGAGACACGGUCCAAACUCCUACGGGAGGCAGCAGUGAGGAAUACUGGUCAAUGGGCGAUGGCCUGAACCAGCCAAGUAGCGUGAAGGAUGACUGCCCUAUGGGUUGUAAACUUCUUUUAUAAAGGAAUAAAGUCGGGUAUGCAUACCCGUUUGCGUGUACUUUAUGAAUAAGGAUCGGCUAACUCCGUGCCAGCAGCCGCGGUAAUACGGAGGAUCCGAGCGUUAUCCGGAUUUAUUGGGUUUAAAGGGAGCGUAGAUGGAUGUUUAAGUCAGUUGUGAAAGUUUGCGGCUCAACCGUAAAAUUGCAGUUGAUACUGGAUGUCUUGAGUGCAGUUGAGGCAGGCGGAAUUCGUGGUGUAGCGGUGAAAUGCUUAGAUAUCACGAAGAACUCCGAUUG
RNAcentral lists this ribosomal RNA (594 nucleotides) under uncultured Bacteroidota bacterium. Its description in RNAcentral is "bacterial SSU rRNA". It matches the Rfam family "Bacterial small subunit ribosomal RNA", at positions 122 to 715 of the family's 1533-position model. Lineage: Bacteria; Pseudomonadati; Bacteroidota. The record is from RNAcentral.